Leopardus geoffroyi (Geoffroy's cat) is the source of this 806-nucleotide long non-coding RNA. RefSeq lists it as uncharacterized. The record is from RefSeq and is a predicted model, not a curated record. Lineage: Eukaryota; Metazoa; Chordata; Mammalia; Carnivora; Felidae. The transcript is spliced from 3 exons.
GCUUUAAGCCCAUUCCCCACUUGAGACUUGGGACUACUUCAGGGAUGCUCUGAACGCUGGGCCAUGUCCAGGAGGUCAGCCUCAGGAAAGGUGGAGGUUGAAUGGAGGGUGGUCCUAAGGCGGUGCUGACUCCACCUCCAGGGGCUUGCAAGAAGAAGGGGUCCUCUGCCUAUUUAAAGGGGCCAUCUGUUCACAAUAGAACAGGUUCCUGCAUACAGAGGGCGAAGGGUUAACACCAAUUCUUAACCUGGAAAGGCCAGGUGAGCCCCCCAGGAAUUCCAACUAUUCAUCCACCUGACAAGUUUUUGUUUUCUUUUCUUUUUUUAAGUCGGCUUCUCAAGGCUGGGCUCAAACCCUGAGAUCAAGACGUGAGCUGAGAUCAAGAGUCAGAUGCUUAGCACAUGGAGCCAUCCCGGAGCCCUCUGCCAAGCUUUUAUGGAACACCUACUACAUGCAGACGUCACCCUCAGUUCCCUUUGGGAGAUACAAUCAAAUCUUUGACAUGAUGGUUGUCUGUCACUACAAAUGACCCCUUGAUGAAUGAAAGCUGUAUGGUGGUGGGAACUUCGUCCUCAGUGCUAGCACUGAGCCUACCACAUGGUUGCCAGGGAUGCCAUGGAAGGUUGUAAAGGUUGUUCACUGCAUCAGAGCUCCUGGCUGGGGAGCGGGCGCUGACAUCUGGCCUGUUCUCUGCUCUCCAUGCACUGGGGGCAUCCAGCAAGUUGCCUUCUGCUAUUUUGCAAUGUGUGCUGUAUGGGCUGGUUGUGGCUCUGUGAUGGGUGUUCAAUAAAUAUUCAUUGAAUACA